UGCAGGGCGGCGUGCUAUACAUGCAAGUCGUGCGGACCUUUUAAAAGCUUGCUUUUAAAAGGUUAGCGGCGGACGGGUGAGUAACACGUGGGCAACCUGCCUGUAAGACUGGGAUAACGCCGGGAAACCGGGGCUAAUACCGGAUAGUUUUUUCCUCCGCAUGGAGGAAAAAGGAAAGGCGGCUUCGGCUGCCACUUACAGAUGGGCCCGCGGCGCAUUAGCUAGUUGGCGGGGUAACGGCCCACCAAGGCAACGAUGCGUAGCCGACCUGAGAGGGUGAUCGGCCACAUUGGGACUGAGACACGGCCCAAACUCCUACGGGAGGCAGCAGUAGGGAAUCUUCCGCAAUGGACGAAAGUCUGACGGAGCAACGCCGCGUGAGUGAAGAAGGCCUUCGGGUCGUAAAACUCUGUUGCCGGGGAAGAACAAGUGCCGUUCGAACAGGGCGGCGCCUUGACGGUACCCGGCCAGAAAGCCACGGCUAACUACGUGCCAGCAGCCGCGGUAAUACGUAGGUGGCAAGCGUUGUCCGGAAUUAUUGGGCGUAAAGCGCGCGCAGGCGGCUUCUUAAGUCUGAUGUGAAAUCUUGCGGCUCAACCGCAAGCGGUCAUUGGAAACUGGGAGGCUUGAGUGCAGAAGAGGAGAGUGGAAUUCCACGUGUAGCGGUGAAAUGCGUAGAGAUGUGGAGGAACACCAGUGGCGAAGGCGGCUCUCUGGUCUGUAACUGACGCUGAGGCGCGAAAGCGUGGGGAGCAAACAGGAUUAGAUACCCUGGGAGUCCACGCCGUAAACGAUGAGUGCUAAGUGUUAGAGGGUUUCCGCCCUUUAGUGCUGCAGCUAACGCAUUAAGCACUCCGCCUGGGGAGUACGGCCGCAAGGCUGAAACUCAAAGGAAUUGACGGGGGCCGCACAAGCGGUGGAGCAUGUGGUUUAAUUCGAAGCAACGCGAAGAACCUUACCACGUCUUGACAUCCUCUGACCUCCCCUGGAGACAGGGCCUUCCCCCUUCUGGGGACAGAGUGACAGUGUGCAUGGUUGUCGUCAGCUCGUGUCGUGAGAUGUUGGUUAAGUCCCGCACGAGCGCACCCUUGACCUAGUUGUCAGCAUCAGAUGGCACUCUAAGUGACUGCCCGCUGACAAACCGAAGAAGUGGGAUGACGUCAAUCAUCAUGCCUUAUUGAACUGGGCUACACACGGUGCCUACAAUGAAU
RNAcentral lists this ribosomal RNA (1211 nucleotides) under Heyndrickxia coagulans. Its description in RNAcentral is "bacterial SSU rRNA". It matches the Rfam family "Bacterial small subunit ribosomal RNA", at positions 34 to 1235 of the family's 1533-position model. Lineage: Bacteria; Bacillati; Bacillota; Bacilli; Caryophanales; Bacillaceae. The record is from RNAcentral.